UGCUACAGGCUUAACACAUGCAAGUCGAGGGGCAUCGGGAAGAAAGCUUGCUUUCUUUGCCGGCGACCGGCGCACGGGUGAGUAACACGUAUCCAACCUGCCCUUUACUCGGGGAUAGCCUUUCGAAAGAAAGAUUAAUACCCGAUAGUAUAAUGAUUCCGCAUGGUUUCAUUAUUAAAGGAUUCCGGUAAAGGAUGGGGAUGCGUUCCAUUAGGUUGUUGGUGAGGUAACGGCUCACCAAGCCUUCGAUGGAUAGGGGUUCUGAGAGGAAGGUCCCCCACAUUGGAACUGAGACACGGUCCAAACUCCUACGGGAGGCAGCAGUGAGGAAUAUUGGUCAAUGGGCGCUAGCCUGAACCAGCCAAGUAGCGUGAAGGAUGAAGGCUCUAUGGGUCGUAAACUUCUUUUAUAUAAGAAUAAAGUGCAGUAUGUAUACUGUUUUGUAUGUAUUAUAUGAAUAAGGAUCGGCUAACUCCGUGCCAGCAGCCGCGGUAAUACGGAGGAUCCGAGCGUUAUCCGGAUUUAUUGGGUUUAAAGGGAGCGUAGGUGGACUGGUAAGUCAGUUGUGAAAGUUUGCGGCUCAACCGUAAAAUUGCAGUUGAUACUGUCAGUCUUGAGUACAGUAGAGGUGGGCGGAAUUCGUGGUGUAGCGGUGAAAUGCUUAGAUAUCACGAAGAACUCCGAUUGCGAAGGCAGCUCACUGGACUGCAACUGACACUGAUGCUCGAAAGUGUGGGUAUCAAACAGGAUUAGAUACCCUGGUAGUCCACACAGUAAACGAUGAAUACUCGCUGUUUGCG
RNAcentral lists this ribosomal RNA (800 nucleotides) under uncultured organism. RNAcentral describes it as "SSU rRNA". It matches the Rfam family "Bacterial small subunit ribosomal RNA", at positions 38 to 828 of the family's 1533-position model. The record is from RNAcentral.